AUAUUAUCAACCUCUUUAAGUUUUUGCUUGUUGAGUGUUGGAUGUGGGGGUUUCUUUCUCUGCUGGUCUUUUUACGAGGUCAGCUCCCCUAAAAUACAUUAGCGGAACAAUUUGACCGUUUAUUGGUGUGAUAACUAAUCUACGCUAUUGACGGACAGUUCAGCUUCUAAUAGUCCAUUGACUUGGACAAUUUUCAUUA
Molecule: unclassified non-coding RNA, 199 nt
Filed under: uncultured Cortinarius
Lineage: Eukaryota; Fungi; Basidiomycota; Agaricomycetes; Agaricales; Cortinariaceae
Description: sequence contains ITS2
Source: RNAcentral